CACGUAGGCUGUUUGGUAAGUCAGGGGUGAAAUCCCGCGGCUCAACCGCGGAAUUGCCCUUGAUACUGCUGGACUCGAGUCCGGGAGAGGGUGGCGGAAUUCCAGGUGUAGGAGUGAAAUCCGUAGAUAUCUGGAGGAACAUCAGUGGCGAAGGCGGCCACCUGGACCGGUACUGACGCUGAGGUGCGAAAGCGUGGGGAGCAAACA
RNAcentral lists this ribosomal RNA (207 nucleotides) under uncultured bacterium. Its description in RNAcentral is "partial 16S ribosomal RNA". It matches the Rfam family "Bacterial small subunit ribosomal RNA", at positions 568 to 774 of the family's 1533-position model. The record is from RNAcentral.